UGAAUACGAGACGCUAAGGCGUCGAAGUAGUGUAUGUCAUACUUCCAAGAAAAGCUUGCACUGUCAUAGAUAAAAAACGCCUGUACCAUAACCGACACAGGUGGGUAGGUAGAGUAUACUAAGGGGCGCGAGAUAACUCUCUCUAAGGAACUCGGCAAAAUAACUCCGUAGCUUCGGGAGAAGGAGUGCCUUAUUCGUAAGGUUGCAAUAACAAGAUCCAAGCAACUGUUUAUCAAAAACACAGGUCUCCGCUAAGUCGUAAGACGAUGUAUGGGGGCUGACGCCUGCCCAGUGCCAGAAGGUUAAAGAAGUUGGUUAGCAAUUGCGAAGCUGAUAACUGAAGCCCUGGUGAACGGCGGCCGUAACAAUAACGGUCCUAAGGUAGCGAAAUUCCUUGUCGGGUAAGUUCCGACCCGCACGAAAGGCGUAAUGAUUUGGAUACUGUCUCGGAGAGGGCUCGGUGAAAUAGACUUGUCUGUGAAGAUGCGGACUACCUGCACCAGGACAGAAAGACCCUAUGAAGCUUUACUGUAACUUGAAAUUGAAAUUGGACUUUAUUCGCGCAGUAUAGGUGGGAGGCGUUGAUUAUAAUCUUGUGGGAUUAUUGGAGCCAUCAGUGAGAUACCACUCUUGUAAUGUUAGAUUUCUAACUUUGAAUCAUUAUCUGGUCAAAGAACAGUUUCAGGCGGGCAGUUUGACUGGGGCGGUCGCCUCCUAGACGGUAACGGAGGCGUACAAAGGUUUCCUCUGAACGGUUAGAAAUCGUAUCUAGAGUGUAAAGGCAUAAGGAAGCUUGACUGUGAGACCUACAAGUCGAGUAGGGACGAAAGUCGGUCUUAGUGAUCUGACGGUACUGAGUGGAAAGGCCGUCACUCAACGGAUAAAAGUUACUCUAGGAUAACAGGCUGAUCUCCCCCAAGAGUUCACAUCGACGGGGAGGUUUGGCACCUCGAUGUCGGCUCAUCGCAUCCUGGGGCGGUAGUACGUCCCAAGGGUUGGGCUGUUCGCCCAUGAAAGCGGUACGCGAGCUGGGUUCAGAACGUCGUGAGACAGUUCGGUCCAUAUCCGGUGUAGGCGUUAGAAUAUUGAGAGGAGCCUUCUUUAGUACGAGAGGACCGAGAAGGACAUACCUCUGGUGUACCAGUUAUCGUGCCAACGGUAAACGCUGGGUAGCUAUGUAUGGAGUGGAUAACCGCUGAAAGCAUCUAAGUGGGAAGCCCACCUCAAGAUAAGUAUUCUC
This 1240-nucleotide ribosomal RNA is filed under the name metagenome. Its description in RNAcentral is "bacterial LSU rRNA". It matches the Rfam family "Bacterial large subunit ribosomal RNA", at positions 1564 to 2815 of the family's 2925-position model. The record is from RNAcentral.